Panicum virgatum (switchgrass) is the source of this 2774-nucleotide long non-coding RNA. RefSeq lists it as uncharacterized. The record is from RefSeq and is a predicted model, not a curated record. The transcript is spliced from 3 exons. Lineage: Eukaryota; Viridiplantae; Streptophyta; Magnoliopsida; Poales; Poaceae.
UUUUUUCAUUCGGUUUUUUACUCCCCGCCGGUUUUUCCCCACCUCCCCAUCCCCAGCUCGCAAUAGAUCGUGCCCCACCCACGAUCCUCCGUUCCGUUCCUCCCGCCGGCGAAACAGAUCCUCGCUCCAUCCGUCCUCCUGCCGGCGUUCCUCCGGUGAUGCGCCGGGCGCCGCCCUCCCCCGUGCCUUCUUGCCUCGCCGGCUCUUGUCCCGCCCCUGCAACACCCGGCUCUGCCGGACCCUGCGACACCCCGCGCCGCCGGCCGCCAUCGGUGGGCUUUCCGUCGGUGACCUUCGGGCUACCCCCGCGAAGGGCUGCGCGGCCGGCCCCCCUCCCGACCCGGCGAGGCACCCUCGCCGGGUCCCCAAUCUCGCGAUUCGGGCCCUCCCCGGCGACCCUCUGGUGAGGCGUGGUCCUGUGCCCCCCCCUCUCGCCCUCCGGCGAGGUCCUGCGCCGCCGGCUACCUGCAGCCUCUGGACGUCAGCGCGUCGCCCGCUCUCCUGAGGUACCCCCACCCGCUACCUGCAGUCUCCAAGAACCAGUGAGAAGUUGUGAAGGUCCAGCCGUGCGCUCGUGGCACACGAUUGGCGGCGGCUAUUCUGGAUUCAUGCCGAGACGGAUUUGUUGUUCUUAACCAUCCCCGCGCCCCCGUCGUGGCUCGCCAACAUUCCGCUGGCGCCGGACACGACGUGAGUUCUCUCCCCUUCGACCGCCUCAAUCUUCCCCAGCCUGAUUCACGCAUGCCUUCGCUGUUCUGAUCUAUGAGUUUUGUUUGAUAGAUUGGGUCUCGAGUUCGUGAUUCACGCCUUCCCUUUUACUCUUUGCACUUCAACAGUUUGCGUUUUUGUCCCCACAAGUUGUUAAUAUAGGCAAUCCCCACAAGAAUUUGGCCUGCAUUAUUUCUGUGGAGUGUAUCAAAUCCUUCUGAUGUGGCCUCUUGUUUGAUCUUUGAAAGAUAAGGUGGAUUAGACUCUGACAGUAACAAUGCUGUUAGCUAGAAGUAAUUUAAGUGUGAGGACACAAGGAGCUGUUGCGCCAAGUUCAUGUCAGCUUCCAGCAGCCGGCGUGAGCUCUCAUGAUGUCAGUGUGACGCUCAUGUCAGCUUCCAUUCAUGUGUUGAUUUAUUUUGAUUGAGAUUACAGCAGCAAGGUGGAAGUUCUUCGCUUUCGCUAAUGCUGGAGCUAUAUUACUAAAGAAAUUCUUCUACUUUUCAAAAAAAAAAGAAAUUCUUCUAAUGCUAUUGACCUUGUCGGUAGUUUUGGUGCAAUAUAAUAAUCCUUUUUUCCAAUUGUAACUUUUGCUCCUGCAUUAGAUCUAACAUCCUUAGCUUGCAGAAGCAUUGAAGCAAGAGUUAUGGGAAUUGGGGUGCCAGAACUGCCAAGCAAAUUCUGUGUUACCUGCUAUGCUGCAAGACUCCAUCAGUGGUACAUGAGCCUUCUUUGUGCUCCCUAGUUCCAAUAGUCUGCAGUCUAGCUCUGCCAUUCUGCAACUUAAGAAGGUACUAAUUUCUGAUCCAAUCAGUUAAGAAGCCUGAUAAACUGAUGAAGGCUUAUUAGAUUUUGCAUCCACAGGAUUGAGCCUCCUGUAGUAUGCAGUGCGUGACCAUUCUGGUGAAUCAUUAGCUAUAAAAUAAAUAUGGACUGUUUUGAACUAUUUCCAUCUUCCUGCAGCUCCAUGAUCACACUAGAGCAGACUGGUCAGAACAAACUAGCUUCAGUUUUGUUUGCCUUGUGGUAGACAUCCCAACAGAUGUCAGAUGAUGGUGAUUGAUAGGCAUGAAAUGUGUACCUUUCUGCAUGAGUAUAAUUUUUUACCAUGUACUGUGUUGAUUAAAUGUUUUUACAUUUUUGGGUAAACCUUUGACAGUUUCUGAAUUUGCUUUAUUUGGCAGAAUAGCUCAUUGUCAGAAAUUUUUGCUACACCAUUUUUUAAACCAAUAUAAUGGAAGCUGUUAUCUAGAAUUUAUAACAAAAGAGAUAUGUUAUUGGUAGUUUGUGAUUAAAUUUACUCCAAAUAGAAGCAUUUCACUGUUCUCAUUAUAUGAUAUCACCAUGUAUAACUAUUUGUUAGUGACUAUAGUUGUUUUCAUUAGACAUGCAUGCCUGAAGGUGGGAAGAAUAUUUGAUUCAUAAUUCUUUUGUUGGCAUGCCCCAUUUUACUAUUGUUGUUCUCAACUAAUCAACUAGUACUAAUAAUAGCUAUGUUGUUGCAUAAAAAUGUGGAUGCUUGAACCUGUAAUGUCUUCAGAUUGUGAGAUGUUGUCUCUGCAGGGAUUAUAGGAUCGAUCCUGCCUCUGAUGCUUGAUAACCUAGAGGCUACGCAGAUGGCAAACAAUGAGUUGUCUCUGCAGGCUCUGAGAUGAAUUGGUAGCUAGCAAUUAUGUGUUGUCAUGAACUAUUGACAUCUGCCUGCAGCUCCAAGCCUCCAAGAUCGCAUUAGAGCAGAUUGGUCAGAACCAAAAAGCUUGACUUUUUUUUUUGCAUUAUGGAUGACUUCCAAACAAGCUAUCAGAUGAUGUUGAAGGCUGAAAGAUCUCGACAGAAGUGUGGUAGACAUCCAUUUGCAUGCCUGUGAUGUAAUCCUUUCUAAGCCUUCUAGCAUCAUAUGCUUGUGCCUGAUGCAGGUGAAGGCUGGUGAACACAUGCUAUUCCGUUCCUUCAUUUGUAUGGCAAUCAUUGGCUUGAUUCUAGAUUUAAGAUAUGUAUCUACAAUGAGAUAACGACAUUUGCAAAUAAAAGUCUCUAAUGCUGAGAAUUUUACUCAAGUUGCAAAA